UGGGGGAUCCACAGGAAUCAACAAUGAUCAACACAACUCAGCCAACCCCACACCAGAGUCAGAGUCAUUGGUGAGUUGAAGCAACAUGGCGGAUCAAAGGUUCGACUACUAAAAAAAAACAGCAGCGGAGAAUAGCAAGGAGCCAAGAGGCGCAUUGUAGCUGGAGCAGAAGAUUGAAGACUUAGCAAAGGCGAGGAGUUGUAGUGUCGACAAAGGCUUCAACGAGGACGUCGAAGGAAUAAGUGGGGGAGAAUGUUACGGACAAACUUCUAAACAAGGUGUUUGAUGUAAUGCUUAUGUAUGUCCGUGUCUUUUGGCAUGUUCAUGCCUUGUACAACAUGUAAAGGGGCGGCCGAAGGCUUAAUAGUCCCAUUUUAGUUGGGUUGGUGGCCUCUUUAGGCUUGUAAAUAAAGGUUGUGUCAUAUGGACACGUGCGAGAGAUUCUCG
RNAcentral lists this long non-coding RNA (447 nucleotides) under Musa acuminata (dwarf banana). RNAcentral describes it as "long non-coding RNA (MACU_LNC006863)". Lineage: Eukaryota; Viridiplantae; Streptophyta; Magnoliopsida; Zingiberales; Musaceae. The record is from RNAcentral.